GAUGAACGCUGGCGGCGUGCCUAAUACAUGCAAGUCGAGCGAACAGAUAAGGAGCUUGCUCCUUUGACGUUAGCGGCGGACGGGUGAGUAACACGUGGAUAACCUACCUAUAAGACUGGGAUAACUUCGGGAAACCGGAGCUAAUACCGGAUAACAUAUUGAACCGCAUGGUUCAAUAGUGAAAGGCGGCUUUGCUGUCACUUAUAGAUGGAUCCGCGCCGUAUUAGCUAGUUGGUAAGGUAACGGCUUACCAAGGCAACGAUACGUAGCCGACCGGAGAGGGUGAUCGGCCACACUGGAACGGAGACACGGUCCAGACUCCUACGGGAGGCAGCAGUAGGGAAUCUUCCGCAAUGGGCGAAAGCCUGACGGAGCAACGCCGCGUGAGUGAUGAAGGUCUUCGGAUCGUAAAACUCUGUUAUCAGGGAAGAACAAAUGUGUAAGUAACUGUGCACAUCUUGACGGUACCUGAUCAGAAAGCCACGGCUAACUACGUG
Molecule: ribosomal RNA, 497 nt
Filed under: uncultured bacterium
Lineage: Bacteria
Description: partial 16S ribosomal RNA
Rfam family: Bacterial small subunit ribosomal RNA
Source: RNAcentral